RNAcentral lists this small nuclear RNA (104 nucleotides) under Tursiops truncatus (common bottlenose dolphin). Lineage: Eukaryota; Metazoa; Chordata; Mammalia; Artiodactyla; Delphinidae. The record is from RNAcentral.
GUGCUCACUUCGGCAGCACAUAUACUAAAAUUGGAACAAUACAGAGAUUAGCAUGGCCCCCGCGCAAGGAUGACCCGCAAAGUUGUGAAGCGUUCCAGAUUUGU